UACGUAGGGGCAAGCGUUGUCCGGAAUUACUGGGCGUAAAGCGCACGCAGGCUGAAUUAUAAGUCGGUAGUCGAAGGCGGAGGCUUAACUUCCGUUUAUCUAUCGAAACUGUAAAUCUAGAGUAUGUGAGAGGGAAGUGGAAUUCCUGGUGUAGCGGUGAAAUGCGCAGAUAUCAGGAGGAACACCAAUGGCGAAGGCAGGUCUCUGGGCAGUUACUGACGCUGAGGAGCGAAAGCAUGGGUAGCGAACAGGAUUAGAUACCCCU
RNAcentral lists this ribosomal RNA (265 nucleotides) under uncultured prokaryote. RNAcentral describes it as "partial 16S ribosomal RNA". It matches the Rfam family "Bacterial small subunit ribosomal RNA", at positions 524 to 788 of the family's 1533-position model. The record is from RNAcentral.